Molecule: long non-coding RNA, 559 nt
Organism: Pocillopora damicornis (cauliflower coral)
Lineage: Eukaryota; Metazoa; Cnidaria; Anthozoa; Scleractinia; Pocilloporidae
Source: RefSeq, a predicted model, not a curated record
UAUCUUCUUGACAUUGAAUUGAUAUCAAUUACAUUAUUACUGACUACACAUGUCUAUUACUUACUCACAGAAUUUUUUUCAAAUGCCACAUCCCAAGUAAAUAUGGGUGGUAACUAAAAGGUAAUAACAAAAGUGUUGCCCCUUACAGCCUGGGGCAACUCAGUAGAAAAGGAGAAAUUUUCCAAAUACGUUGGAAAUUGUCUUCAUGAGAAUUAAAUGCACUAUGUAAUAUGACACAAAUAUGGUUGUCAGUUACAUUAUUAAUGAAACAUAUUUCGAUUUUUUUGUACUUACAGAGGUUGUUGCCAGUUUUAGACAACUUGAAAUGAACCAGGGAAACAACAGAGGCAAUGUGCUGAUUAAUUCAACACUCUAACUUUAUCCCUCCUCCCUUGGGCAGCUUUGGGCCAGCAACUUAUAAUAAUUUGUUGCAAAUGCUAGAUCCUAAGUAGAUAUGCAACAGCUGGGUUAGGUAUAGAACUUCACCAUACUUUUAACAGUAUACUUGUAUUGAAUGUCAAUCAAAUAAAUCAAAUCAAAUGUUCCUGUGCAUGAGAAA